GAUGAACGCUGGCGGCGUGCCUAAUACAUGCAAGUCGAGCGAACGGACGAGAAGCUUGCUUCUCUGAUGUUAGCGGCGGACGGGUGAGUAACACGUGGAUAACCUACCUAUAAGACUGGGAUAACUUCGGGAAACCGUAGCUAAUACCGGAUAAUAUUUUGAACCGCAUGGUUCAAAAGUGAAAGACGGUCUUGCUGUCACUUAUAGAUGUAUCCGCGCUGCAUUAGCUAGUUGGUAAGGUAACGGCUUACCAAGGCAACGAUGCAUAGCCGACCUGAGAGGGUGAUCGGCCACACUGGAACUGAGACACGGUCCAGACUCCUACGGGAGGCAGCAGUAGGGAAUCUUCCGCAAAGGGCGAAAGCCUGACGGAGCAACGCCGCGUGAGUGAUGAAGGUCUUCGGAUCGUAAAACUCUGUUAUUAGGGAAGAACAUAUGUGUAAGUAACUGUGCACAUCUUGACGUUACCUACUCAGAAAGCCACGGCUAACUACGUG
RNAcentral lists this ribosomal RNA (497 nucleotides) under uncultured bacterium. RNAcentral's name for it is "partial 16S ribosomal RNA". It matches the Rfam family "Bacterial small subunit ribosomal RNA", at positions 28 to 507 of the family's 1533-position model. The record is from RNAcentral.